ACCCAGUUAGCUGUCUUGUCUCCUUGAUGGCUGCUGUCUCAACAUAAGUUCUCAGCUCCUGCUCUAGAGCCAUGCUUGCCUGUUUCCAUGCUUCUCCAGACGAUGGUCAUGAACUCUGCUGCCCUCCGGAAUCAUGAGCCCCAGACUAAAUGCUUUCUUACAUAUGCUCACACGAUCUGAAAUUCGCUGCUGUGAAAACAGAAGGAAACGGUCCUGUCAGGAGAACCAGCCCCUGCAGUUCCCUAAGGCUGGCACAAUGGAGGAAGGUUCCUCUCCGCCUGAGUUCCUACCUCGGUGAUGGACUCCGUGAUGGACUAUGAUCCUGACACGUAAGCCAAACGAACCCUUUCCUCUCCAGGUUGCUGUUUAGCACAGCAGAAGCAGCAGCAGCAGGCUUCUCUCUCUCCUCUCAGAAGCAUCAUGUGCUCUUCGAUGCUGAGUCAUCUCACUAGGCCCCUCCCGAGCCCUCUUCCACACCUUCUGAGAGAUAAUGUCUCACGUGAAUCUCUGGCUGGCUAGAACUUAGAACCAGAGCAGGCUGAUCUCCAAACGAGGACCAUCUCCUGCCUCCCAGAUGCUGGGAUUCCAGGUGUGUGGGUAUGUGCGCCACACACCUGGCUACUGGAACACAUUUUUGUUAAUUAGCUGAAUUAGUCAUAUAGUCGUAUUAUGCUAAACUGCAUUAAUUUAGUUAGGCCAAGUGGUAUUAGUUAAUUAAAUUCCUGUAACAUGGAAGACAGCGGCUGGGGAGACCUUUUCCUAAGUGCUCCUCGCUCUAUCUCCCAAUGUUCGAACUUAAAUCUCUAUUAAAACUAUAUUUUAGGCAGGUGUGGGUGCUCUCAUAGGAUCAGAAAUCCAAAGCCAUUUUUUGGCUACAUAUAGAGCUCAAGGCCAGCCAGGCUAUAGGAGACCUUGCCUUAGAACAAAUAAAACAAGAACUGUGGGUCAUAAAACCAGUAGGUGUAGUGGUUAAAGCCCAGAGUCUCAAAAUGUGAAGGCUCACAGCCCGAUAAUCACUGCAAAUUCAAGGCUAGUCUGAGCUUUAAAUAAAGUUCUAGCCAACCCAAGGCUGUAUAUAGGGAGACACUAUUUAAAAUAAAGAAAUAACUAUUUAAAAUAAACAAAUAAAAUAAAGUAAAAUAAAAUGG
Molecule: long non-coding RNA, 1148 nt
Filed under: Mus musculus (house mouse)
Lineage: Eukaryota; Metazoa; Chordata; Mammalia; Rodentia; Muridae
Description: RIKEN cDNA 2410003L11 gene
Source: RNAcentral